AUUGAACGCUGGCGGCAGGCCUAACACAUGCAAGUCGAGCGGAUGACGGGAGCUUGCUCCUUGAUUCAGCGGCGGACGGGUGAGUAAUGCCUAGGAAUCUGCCUGGUAGUGGGGGACAACGUUUCGAAAGGAACGCUAAUACCGCAUACGUCCUACGGGAGAAAGCAGGGGACCUUCGGGCCUUGCGCUAUCAGAUGAGCCUAGGUCGGAUUAGCUAGUUGGUGGGGUAAUGGCUCACCAAGGCGACGAUCCGUAACUGGUCUGAGAGGAUGAUCAGUCACACUGGAACUGAGAAACGGUCCAGACUCCUACGGGAGGCAGCAGUGGGGAAUAUUGGACAAUGGGCGAAAGCCUGAUCCAGCCAUGCCGCGUGUGUGAAGAAGGUCUUCGGAUUGUAAAGCACUUUAAGUUGGGAGGAAGGGCAGUAAGCUAAUACCUUGCUGUUUUGACGUUACCGACAGAAUAAGCACCGGCUAACUCUGUGCCAGCCGCCGCGGUAA
RNAcentral lists this ribosomal RNA (500 nucleotides) under uncultured bacterium. RNAcentral describes it as "partial 16S ribosomal RNA". It matches the Rfam family "Bacterial small subunit ribosomal RNA", at positions 30 to 523 of the family's 1533-position model. The record is from RNAcentral.